RNAcentral lists this ribosomal RNA (468 nucleotides) under uncultured bacterium. Its description in RNAcentral is "partial 16S ribosomal RNA". It matches the Rfam family "Bacterial small subunit ribosomal RNA", at positions 28 to 507 of the family's 1533-position model. The record is from RNAcentral.
GACGAACGCUGGCGGCGUGCUUAACACAUGUAAGUCGAACGGAAAGGCCCUGCUUUUGUGGGGUGCUCGAGUGGCGAACGGGUGAGUAACACGUGAGUAACCUGCCCUUGACUUUGGGAUAACUUCAGGAAACUGGGGCUAAUACCGGAUAGGAGCUCCUGCUGCAUGGUGGGGGUUGGAAAGUUUCGGCGGUUGGGGAUGGACUCGCGGCGUAUCAGCUUGUUGGUGGGGUAGUGGCUUACCAAGGCUUUGACGGGUAGCCGGCCUGAGAGGGUGACCGGCCACAUUGGGACUGAGAUACGGCCCAGACUCCUACGGGAGGCAGCAGUGGGGAAUAUUGCACAAUGGGCGGAAGCCUGAUGCAGCAACGCCGCGUGCGGGAUGACGGCCUUCGGGUUGUAAACCGCUUUCGCCUGUGACGAAGCGUGAGUGACGGUAAUGGGUAAAGAAGCACCGGCUAACUACGUG